UGGGGAAUAUUGCGCAAUGGGGGGAACCCUGACGCAGCCAUGCCGCGUGAAUGAAGAAGGCCUUCGGGUUGUAAAGUUCUUUCGGUAUUGAGGAAGGUUGAUGUGUUAAUAGCACAUCAAAUUGACGUUAAAUACAGAAGAAGCACCGGCUAACUCCGUGCCAGCAGCCGCGGUAAUACGGAGGGUGCGAGCGUUAAUCGGAAUAACUGGGCGUAAAGGGCACGCAGGCGGUUAUUUAAGUGAGGUGUGAAAGCCCCGGGCUUAACCUGGGAAUUGCAUUUCAGACUGGGUAACUAGAGUACUUUAGGGAGGGGUAGAAUUCCACGUGUAGCGGUGAAAUGCGUAGAGAUGUGGAGGAAUACCGAAGGCGAAGGCAGCCCCUUGGGAAUGUACUGACGCUCAUGUGCGGAAGCGUGGGGAGCAAACAGGAUUAGAUACCCUGGUAGUCCACGCUGUAAACGCUGUCGAUUUGGGGGUUGGGGUUUAACUCUGGCGCCCGUAGCUAACGUGAUAAAUCGACCGCCUGGGGAGUACGGCCGCAAGGUUA
RNAcentral lists this ribosomal RNA (547 nucleotides) under uncultured bacterium. RNAcentral's name for it is "bacterial SSU rRNA". It matches the Rfam family "Bacterial small subunit ribosomal RNA", at positions 355 to 896 of the family's 1533-position model. The record is from RNAcentral.